GGGCCCAUCGUUCAGUGGUAGGAUACCUCAUUUGCACUGAGGAGAUACGAGUUCGAUUCUCGUUGGGUCCA
This 71-nucleotide transfer RNA is filed under the name Nanobdellota archaeon. RNAcentral describes it as "tRNA-Ala". It matches the Rfam family "tRNA". Rfam says of the family: Transfer RNA (tRNA) molecules are approximately 80 nucleotides in length. Their secondary structure includes four short double-helical elements and three loops (D, anti-codon, and T loops). The record is from RNAcentral. Lineage: Archaea; Nanobdellati; Nanobdellota.